RNAcentral lists this ribosomal RNA (292 nucleotides) under uncultured bacterium. RNAcentral's name for it is "partial 16S ribosomal RNA". It matches the Rfam family "Bacterial small subunit ribosomal RNA", at positions 505 to 796 of the family's 1533-position model. The record is from RNAcentral.
GUGUCAGCCGCCGCGGUAAUACAGAGGCCCCGAGCGUUAAUCGGAAUCACUGGGCUUAAAGGGUGCGUAGGCGGGUCAGUAAGCGCUUUGUGAAAUCCCACAGCUCAACUGUGGAACCGCAGGGCGAACUGCUGAUCUUGAGGAAGCUAGAGGCUGGUAGAACGAUAGGUGGAGCGGUGGAAUGCGUAGAGAUCUAUCGGAAUGCCGAAAGUGAAGACAGCCAGCUGGGGCUUUCCUGACGCUAAAGCACGAAAGCGUGGGGAGCAAACCGGAUUAGAAACCCGCGUAGUCC